This 490-nucleotide ribosomal RNA is filed under the name uncultured bacterium. Its description in RNAcentral is "partial 16S ribosomal RNA". It matches the Rfam family "Bacterial small subunit ribosomal RNA", at positions 30 to 507 of the family's 1533-position model. The record is from RNAcentral.
AUUGAACGCUGGCGGCAGGCCUAACACAUGCAAGUCGAAUGGUAACAGGAAACAGCUUGCUGUUUCGCUGACGAGUGGCGGAUGGGUGAGUCAUGUCUGGGAUACUGCCUGAUGGAGGGGGAUAACUACUGGAAACGGUAGCUAAUACCGCAUAACGUCGCCAGACCAAAGAGGGGGACCUUCUGGCCUCUUGCCAUCAGAUGUUCCCAGAUGGGAUUAGCUAGUAGGUGGGGUUACGGCUCACCUAGGCGACGAUCCGUAGAUGAUGUGAGAGGAUGGCCAGCCACACGGGAACUGAGACACGGUCCAGACGCCUAAGGGAGGCAGCAGUGGGGAAUAUUGCACAAUGGGCGCAAGCCUGAUGCAGCCAGGCCGCGUGUAUGAAGAAGGCCUUCGGGUUGGAAAGUACUUUCAGCGGGGAGGAAGGGAGUAAAGUUAAUACCUUUGCUCAUUGACGUUACCCGCAGAAGAAGCACCGGCUAACUCCGUG